Molecule: ribosomal RNA, 688 nt
Filed under: Mesorhabditis longespiculosa
Lineage: Eukaryota; Metazoa; Nematoda; Chromadorea; Rhabditida; Rhabditidae
Description: partial 28S ribosomal RNA
Rfam family: Eukaryotic large subunit ribosomal RNA
Source: RNAcentral
AAGACAUAUCUCUCUAUGAUUACGGGGCGAGAUGAAACGGGGGGGUCAAAAAGCCCCCAAGCGGGCGUGAAAAUCCCCCUUCGGGGCCUUUCCUUAGUUCGCCCCGGUUUUAUCCGACGCGGCUGUCCUUCUCUCCAAAGUCCCUUUGAACAUGGGGCCACAGAUCCGAGAAAGGGUGCAAGUCCUGUACGAGUGGCGGCGGUGUCGGUCGAUCGUUCCUUGGAGUCGGGUUGCCUGAGAAACGCAGCCUUAAGCGGGUGGUAAACUUCAUCUAAGGCCUAAAUAUGGCCUACGAGACCGAUAGCAAACAAGUACCGUGAGGGAAAGUUGCAAAGAACUUUGAAGAGAGAGUUCAAGAGUGGCGUGAAACCACUGGGAGUCGAAAACGGGAUAGCGGUUUGACGUAAACGGGGGCCAGCCAUUUCAACCCGAAUCCCCCUCGGGGGCUUCGGUGCACCUUUGUUUGCCCCCGUAAAGCCGCCUUGAAGUUGCGGUUUGAACGGCCGUGCCGUCGGAAACCGGAACCACGAUGUUUGCCCCCACCCUCCGGGUGGGCUGCUCCUUUGCCGUUGUUCCGGGCGUAAGGUUGUUGUUCCGCCCGGGCCUUAAAUGGUUUAAUUUCCGGUGGUGGCAAAGGUUCAAAUCCACCCUAUUCCGAACCCCGCCUUUGAAAACCACCGCGAAUUAA